RNAcentral lists this ribosomal RNA (712 nucleotides) under Klebsiella sp. RNAcentral's name for it is "bacterial SSU rRNA". It matches the Rfam family "Bacterial small subunit ribosomal RNA", at positions 797 to 1507 of the family's 1533-position model. Lineage: Bacteria; Pseudomonadati; Pseudomonadota; Gammaproteobacteria; Enterobacterales; Enterobacteriaceae. The record is from RNAcentral.
GCCCGUUAAACGAAUGUCGACUUGGAGGUUGUUCCCUUGAGGAGUGGCUUCCGGAGCUAACGCGUUAAGUCGACCGCCUGGGGAGUACGGCCGCAAGGUUAAAACUCAAAUGAAUUGACGGGGGCCCGCACAAGCGGUGGAGCAUGUGGUUUAAUUCGAUGCAACGCGAAGAACCUUACCUACUCUUGACAUCCACAGAACUUUUCAGAGAUGAAUUGGUGCCUUCGGGAACCGUGAGACAGGUGCUGCAUGGCUGUCGUCAGCUCGUGUUGUGAAAUGUUGGGUUAAGUCCCGCAACGAGCGCAACCCUUAUCCUUUGUUGCCAGCGGUUCGGCCGGGAACUCAAAGGAGACUGCCAGUGAUAAACUGGAGGAAGGUGGGGAUGACGUCAAGUCAUCAUGGCCCUUACGAGUAGGGCUACACACGUGCUACAAUGGCAUAUACAAAGAGAAGCGACCUCGCGAGAGCAAGCGGACCUCAUAAAGUAUGUCGUAGUCCGGAUUGGAGUCUGCAACUCGACUCCAUGAAGUCGGAAUCGCUAGUAAUCGUAGAUCAGAAUGCUACGGUGAAUACGUUCCCGGGCCUUGUACACACCGCCCGUCACACCAUGGGAGUGGGUUGCAAAAGAAGUAGGUAGCUUAACCUUCGGGAGGGCGCUUACCACUUUGUGAUUCAUGACUGGGGUGAAGUCGUAACAAGGGUAACCAGAAAG